UACGGAGGAUCCGAGCGUUAUCCGGAUUUAUUGGGUUUAAAGGGAGCGUAGGCGGCCCUCUAAGUCAGGGGUGAAAGACGGCAGCUCAACUGUCGCAGUGCCCUUGAUACUGGGGGGCUUGAAUGCACCUGAGGCAGGCGGAAUGUGGCAAGUAGCGGUGAAAUGCAUAGAUAUGCCACAGAACACCGAUUGCGAAGGCAGCUUGCUAAAGUGCUAUUGACGCUGAGGCUCGAAAGCGUGGGGAUCGAACAGG
This 253-nucleotide ribosomal RNA is filed under the name uncultured bacterium. RNAcentral describes it as "partial 16S ribosomal RNA". It matches the Rfam family "Bacterial small subunit ribosomal RNA", at positions 524 to 776 of the family's 1533-position model. The record is from RNAcentral. RNAcentral also lists the same sequence under 1 other name.